Stegodyphus dumicola is the source of this 301-nucleotide long non-coding RNA. The record is from RefSeq and is a predicted model, not a curated record. Lineage: Eukaryota; Metazoa; Arthropoda; Arachnida; Araneae; Eresidae.
UAGAUGCAAAUAUGGAAAAUGUGUCAAAGAUAGGAGCGGAAAUGAAGUCUGUCAAUGCCGAAAAGGAUACGGUCUAUAUAAACCCGGAGAAUGCAAAAAAUGCGACUGUGGCAAAAAUUCAAUCUGUACCUUCUCUCGCUACGUAAAAGUUUGCAGUUGCAAAGAAGGAUAUGGAAGAAAAGACGGUAUUUGUACAGAAUGCAAAUGUGGUGAAGGUUCAAACUGCACGUUUUUAAAUGACCGGCACAAAACUAAAAAAUGUAUUUGUAAAAAAGGAUAUAAAGAAGAAAACGGUGUUUGU